GGUCGGAGUAAAAAUUCAAUU
RNAcentral lists this non-coding RNA (21 nucleotides) under Caenorhabditis elegans. Lineage: Eukaryota; Metazoa; Nematoda; Chromadorea; Rhabditida; Rhabditidae. The record is from RNAcentral.